GCGGGUGUGGCGGAAUGGUAGACGCGACGGAUUCAAAAUCCGUUUCCAGAAAUGGAGUGCCGGUUCAAGUCCGGCCACCCGUACCA
This 86-nucleotide transfer RNA is filed under the name Rhodobacteraceae bacterium F11138. RNAcentral describes it as "tRNA-Leu". It matches the Rfam family "tRNA". From Rfam's summary of the family: Transfer RNA (tRNA) molecules are approximately 80 nucleotides in length. Their secondary structure includes four short double-helical elements and three loops (D, anti-codon, and T loops). The record is from RNAcentral. Lineage: Bacteria; Pseudomonadati; Pseudomonadota; Alphaproteobacteria; Rhodobacterales; Paracoccaceae.